This 188-nucleotide ribosomal RNA is filed under the name Sanguinoderma rude. The record is from RNAcentral. Lineage: Eukaryota; Fungi; Basidiomycota; Agaricomycetes; Polyporales; Polyporaceae.
AAUCUUCAACCUAAAAGCCUUUGCGGGUUUGUUAGGCUUGGACUUGGAGGCUUGUCGGCUCAUUAGUCGGCUCCUCUUAAAUGCAUUAGCUUGGUUCCUUGCGGAUCGGCUGUCGGUGUGAUAAUUGUCAACGCCGCGACCGUGAAGCGUUUGGCGAGCUUCUAACCGUCUCGUUAGAGACAGAUUAU